GCCGCCGCCGCCGCCGCCGCCGCCGCCGCCGCCGCCGCCGCGCUCUCGGCCCAGGCCCGGCUCCGGGAGCGGCCCUCCCGGAUGCGGCACCUGGGGUGGGGUCGCUGGGGCCCCGAGGCCGCGCGCACCCCUGCCCUCCACCCCGCCCACAUCCGUUUUAGGUCCAGGUUCCCUUGGACCUUGCUCAAGCCCGGGGCCCUCCUGGGAGACCCUUUCUCUCUUUGGCCCUUCGCCCAGGACCUAAGGACCCCUCCCUUCCCCCCAUUUCCGACGCGGGAGAGAGCACGGCAGCCUUGACAACAAUCCUGCAACAUAGGCAUGGUUGCCACUGCCAUAUUACAGACAGGAGAAGGGAGGCAGCAAGGCGCAGAGAGACUGAUCUACCCAAGGCCACCAAGAUAGUGAGUGUCAAGGUCCAGACUCCAUCUUGGCUCCACCUGCCUCAAAGCCCCUGCUUGUAACCAGCACUCUGCCUUGCUUUCCCGGGUGCUGUGGGCAUCCAGAGGGUGAGCCUCUUUCACACUACCAGAACAAUUUUGGUACUUUUCUUUUUUUUUUAAUGGGUAAGUACUUUGGGUAUGUUUGUUUGUGAACUAUAGAUAUAUAUCUCACUUUACUGAGGUAUGACUGACAUACAAAAAGCUAUACGUAUUCAAUGUAUACAAAACCUGAUGAGUUUAGGGAUGAGUUUAUACCCGUGAAACCAUCACCACCAUCAAGGCCAUAAAUACAGACAUCGCCUCUGGACGUUUCAUCCAGCCCCCUUUAUUAUUAUUAUGAUUUGUGUUUGGGGAUGUGGUAAGAAUACUUAACAUAAGAUCUACCCUCUUAGCAAACUUUAGUGUACAGUAUGGUAUUGUUAGCUAUAGAUACUAUUCUGUAUGGUAGAUCUCUAGAACUUAUUUAUCUUAGUUAACUGAAACUUUGUAUUCUUUAUCAUCAUUUUGUCACUUCUGUUUCCCCUCUGUCCCCAUUGUGAGAAAGGGCCUAAAGCAUUAACCAGAGUUCCCCUGGCCACAGUGAAAUAACCCCAUCCGUUCCUGAAUAGGAGCUUUUGUAUGAGUUUGGGUAACUUUCAAGAGUGAAAAUUAACCAAAGUUAAGAAUAGCCCAACUCCCUGGAGUGUCUCCAGGCAUGGGCCUGGGUGAGAUUCUCCUGUUCCUCUGCAGGCAGCUCGCUCUGGCGGCACAUUAAGGAACUGGGCCUGCUCACUUCCCCAGAGAUGGGGAGGAGAGGACAGUGGGGAAGGAAAGAUGCUGGAAGGGAAAGAAACUUCAAGGUGGGGACCCUCUAGAGAAGGUUAACUAUAAGAAGUCAUGCAAACAUACAACCCAUCAGCAACUUGGGAACUUCAUUCUGAUAUGAAUAAAGUCAUAAAAUGCACACACCAAAGCCCAUAAAUAUAACACAUGGUACCACAUUCUCAUAAUGGCAGCUGGACCUCCUGCGAAGUGGAGGAGGUCCCAUGAAUGAGGUGCACAGUGGGGUCUCCAUCCUGGUGUGGUGACUGUGUACUGACCCAGCAUCCAGCUAGUGCCUUCAUAAUGCUUAUAGUCUUAAGGUCUGGCUGGAUGACCUUGGGAAACUUCUCUGUGCCUCAGUUUCCUUUUUUGGGAAAUGACAGUAAUAAUAGUACCUGUCUCAUAGGAUUGUUCUGAAGAUUAAAGGAGGUAAUGUGUAGGAAUCUAGAUCAUUCUUGUUUACAUCAUAGGUUAUGAAAAUGAACCUCCAAAUUCCCAAAUGUGAGCCUCAUAUGCCCAGAGUGGCAGGAAAUUCAAUUCCACCCCAGCCUUCAUAAUGCACCCUCUUCCUGAUAGGCCCAACAAUCUCCCAGGGUGCUAGGUUUUGUUCAAAGAGCCAGAUGGAGCCAGAACUCAGGUGGGGUCCCCUGAGGCCAGCGCCCUCAUCCUCCCCUUUUCCAGAGGAUGAGUGAGGCAGCUCCCCACUUUCACAGCUCUUUCAGGAUAACCUUGCCCAGACCCAGGGCUGGAUGAUCCAAGCACAGGACACACACAUAAACCCCUGCAAUCUCUUAAUAAGAGCAUACGAGUAAACCAGAUGUCACUUUCAAAACUAAAACGUGUUCUUUUUGUUUGAAAUGACCUCUGAGGAAGCACCAUAGUCUGUCUGGUGCUUAAGGAUUCCUGGGGAUCUUGAUCUAGCCUCGCAGACAGUCAUUUGUCCCAAGGCACUCACAGAGCCAAGGUUUUGGGUCAGGAGAGGUUUCAACCCACAUGCUGGGUCCAGGACAUGUGGGGCUGAAAGGACUUCUGAGUCCUUAGCCCUGGAGGCAAAGGAGGUCUCCUCACCUCCCAGUCCUUCCCCCAGGAUGCAUUCCAUUCCUUUCACCUGUGAAGUGUUCAACACACUUUUUGGCACAUACCAGGUGUAUUAGUUUGCUGGGGCCCCAUAACAAAGUACCACAAACCGGGUGGCUCAAAAGGGAAAUUUAUUGUCUAACAAUAAUAUACAUCUUUGUUUACUAAAUAAUUAGCUCUGUUACGUGAACCAUAAAAAUCACGAUUCUCAGAUCAUUAUAUCAGAGGAACAAGAAUGUUUCUGAAUUCUUAUAAUCUGAAUUUUGAUUGAGGAUCAUUGAAGAUCCACAAUUAAGCCAUUGUUAAUUAAUAAAAGUGAAUGGUUCUUAAUGUGUUAAAAAAAUAAAAAAGAAGUCCAAGGAGUUGGCAGGGCAUGCUCCCUCCGAAACCUGUAGGGGAGGAUCCUUCCUUGACUGUUCUAGCCUCUGGCUGUGGCCACCAAUCCUUGGUGUUCCAUGGCUUGCAGCUGCAUCUCUGCCUUUUCUGUCACAUGAUGUUCUCCCUGUGUGUCUGUGUGAGUGUCCAAAUUUCCCUCUUAUUAUAUGACAUUAGUCAUAUUGGAGUAAGGGCCCACCCUACUGACCUCAUCUUAACUUGACUACAUCUGCAAAGACCCUAUUUCCAGAUAAGGGCGUAUUCAUAAGUACCAGGGGUUAGGACUUGAACAUAUGUUUGGGGGUGACACAAUUCAAUCCAUAACACCAGUUAUUCAGAAAAUGCCAGCUAUGAUGAUUAUUAUCCAAGCAUGCACAGCAUGCACAUGGCACCUGCAAGCAUGCUAAAAAUACCACUCUCAGCCAUGCCUUGUGUCGAGCCUGUUGUAUACAGGUGACCAUCCAGCCGCCUGCCUUUAGUCUUGGGAGAGCUUAAUUCCGAAAGGGUUGUUGAGGGACAAGGUGGCUUUGGGACUGGUAAUGAGCUCCUCCUGGGCUUCAUCAUUGUUCUUCUAAAUAAGUAAUUCAUCUUCUUCCUUGCUGUUUACAUCCUUCACAUAUUUGUAGAUGGUUAUCCUGUCCCUUUAGUCAUUACUUAGCACCACUCUACAUAUUUGCCAUGGUGUUGAGUGUGUGCUCUCCUCAUUGUCAUGAUUAGUAUUAUUAUUUCCUCCUGGCCCACUCCCUGGGUCCCUCAGCCACCAUCACCACUGUGUGAAUCUCCUUCAGGUCCCCAGACUUUCAAGUAACAAGUUUCUUGGCAUGGAACAUUAGAAGUCAGUAGUGGUGACAAGGGAUGCUUGCAGGCCCUCUGGCCCCCUACUCCUCUGUCAUUUUUGUCAGUUUCCCCAAAGCCACAUCAAAUAAAUAGACAAGCUAAGUAAAAACAAUGUGCUUACAGUGCAAAUACUGUUUCCAGACAAAUCUCCCUGUCCCUGGUUUCAUCCGGAUAAUCUCAAUUUCUUCAACUAUAAAAUAAGGAUAAGAAUUCCCGCUCUCAGCAACCUGGGAUUACUGUGAAGACUACAUGAGGAAGAGAGUGGAAAAGUGCUUUGUAAACCACAAAGCAGGGGGGGUGGCAGUACCAGCAAUGCCUUCAACAUACGAUUAGAUUUCUGCAGAAAGUUCCAGGGGUCAGCUGUUCUGAAAAGCUAGAAAUUCUAAGUUACAAUUUACAAAAUGAACUUGAUAGAACUGAGAUUCACCCUAAAAUCUGUUUGUUGAAAGAAUAUGGAGAUGCCCUACUUCAAAAUCUACUAUUAGAUUUUAGUAUUCCAAAAAAAGUGUGGAACUCAGAGCUGGAUGGGCCCUUGGAGACAUGUUACAGAUGGCCCUGAGGAGGCUUUGGAAGGUUAUGCUGCUAUAAAAGAUUUUUUUUUUAAUCCACCUUGUCUUCCAUUUCAGAUCUCACUGAAGAGUUCUUCUGUACCCAGAAGACUUAUUUUCAGUCUGAGAAGAAUGAUUUUCAAUGGUUCUGUUGAACAUGCAAUUCUCAUGCAAGUAUUUCUAUAAUUACCCUGUUUCAGUUAUAAUACAGUUUCUGGAACAAUAGGACUUUUAUUAUAUUGCCAUAUCUGUUAUAAUAGAUGUUUUAUUACAGAAAAUUAUGGUAGAGUCACUAUUAUGAUUCUGAAGUUUUUAUUUCAAAUUGUUCAUAGGAUGGAAAUUCUUUCUCCCAAGUAGUUUUUACUUUAAUGGUGCUUUGAGCUUUUUGGGUUUUUUAAACUUUUUUGGGGAUUUUGUUCAAUGGCAGAAUGUGUUCUUUUGCUCCAGUACAUACUGUGGAUGAAAAGUUACCCCUGGUGUUUGUUUGUUUGUUCUUAGCAUGUGGUGCACAGAAAUUUUUUUUUAAAUGCCAUCUAGAUUGUUCUAUAUAUAUCUGCAUACAUUAGCCUGCUCAGGCUGCCGUAGCAAAUACCACAGACUGAGUGGCUCAAACAACAGAAAUUUAUUUCUCACAGUCUGGAGGCUAGAAGUCUAAGAGCAAGGUGCUGGCAAAGAUAGGUUUCAUUCUGAGGCCUCUUUUCUUGGCUUGCAGGCAGCUGCCAUCUUGUUGUGUGCUCAUAUGACCUCUUCUAUGUACAUGCAGGGAGAGAGAACAAGCUCUCUACUAUCUCCUCUUAUGAGGACACUAAUCCUAUCAGAUCAGGGCCCCACCCUUAUGACCUCAUUUAACCUUAAUUACCUCCUUACGGGCCCCAUCUCCAAACACAGUCACAUUGGAGGUUAGGACUUCAACACAUGAAUCUGG
Molecule: long non-coding RNA, 5003 nt
Organism: Orcinus orca (killer whale)
Lineage: Eukaryota; Metazoa; Chordata; Mammalia; Artiodactyla; Delphinidae
Exons: 2
Source: RefSeq, a predicted model, not a curated record